Molecule: long non-coding RNA, 555 nt
Organism: Mytilus trossulus (common blue mussel)
Lineage: Eukaryota; Metazoa; Mollusca; Bivalvia; Mytilida; Mytilidae
Exons: 5
Source: RefSeq, a predicted model, not a curated record
AGGAACCUAGAGUAUUGUUGUUCGGACUAUGAAAGCAUAAAUGGUACAUGUACAGAGUGCAAAAUUGGGUUUGUAUCAAUAAGUGGAAAGCCAUGUUCUCAUUGCCAGAAAAACAGAUUUGGAGAAAGAUGUUUGGAACGUUGCUACUGUAAUGAGAUUGAAGAAAGAUGUGAUCACGUAAAAGGAUGCGUUCCAAAGUUUGAACUUAACGGAGAUGUCAAUUAUACAACCAGUUCAGAGUCAGAAAACUAUUCGGAGUCAGUGACAGUGUUUGAAUUGGAUGUACUUAUAAUCUUGGCUGCAGUAGCUGGUUUGCUAGUUCUGGUUGGUGGCUGUUUGGGCUUUACCUGUUUUUGUAAAAGACGAAACAAGAUAAAUGUAGCUAGUAGCUCCUAUUUACAAGUUAUAAAUGGAUCGUACGGAACUGUUAUUGAUACCAAUGUCAAUGACGAUCGAUGCAGACAACUCAACUCGUACGUUACCUUGGUUCCUAAAACUAGCGAUACACAUUACUACAUGUAUUAUGAAUAGAGGAGAAGACAGAACAAUGAUUCA